RNAcentral lists this ribosomal RNA (710 nucleotides) under Marinovum sp. Its description in RNAcentral is "bacterial SSU rRNA". It matches the Rfam family "Bacterial small subunit ribosomal RNA", at positions 41 to 794 of the family's 1533-position model. The record is from RNAcentral. Lineage: Bacteria; Pseudomonadati; Pseudomonadota; Alphaproteobacteria; Rhodobacterales; Roseobacteraceae.
GGAAUGCGGCAGCUACCAUGCAAGUCGAGCGAGCUCUUCGGAGCUAGCGGCGGACGGGUUAGUAACGCGUGGGAACGUGCCCUUCACUGCGGAAUAGCCACUGGAAACGGUGAGUAAUACCGCAUACGCCCUUCGGGGGAAAGAUUUAUCGGUGAAGGAUCGGCCCGCGUUAGAUUAGAUAGUUGGUGGGGUAACGGCCUACCAAGUCUACGAUCUAUAGCUGGUUUUAGAGGAUGAUCAGCAACACUGGGACUGAGACACGGCCCAGACUCCUACGGGAGGCAGCAGUGGGGAAUCUUGGACAAUGGGCGCAAGCCUGAUCCAGCCAUGCCGCGUGAGUGAUGAAGGCCUUAGGGUCGUAAAGCUCUUUCGCCAGAGAUGAUAAUGACAGUAUCUGGUAAAGAAACCCCGGCUAACUCCGUGCCAGCAGCCGCGGUAAUACGGAGGGGGUUAGCGUUGUUCGGAAUUACUGGGCGUAAAGCGCACGUAGGCGGAUCAGAAAGUUGGGGGUGAAAUCCCGGGGCUCAACCCCGGAACUGCCUCCAAAACUCCUGGUCUUGAGUUCGAGAGAGGUGAGUGGAAUUCCGAGUGUAGAGGUGAAAUUCGUAGAUAUUCGGAGGAACACCAGUGGCGAAGGCGGCUCACUGGCUCGAUACUGACGCUGAGGUGCGAAAGUGUGGGGAGCAAACAGGAUUAGAUACCCUGGUAGU